This 651-nucleotide ribosomal RNA is filed under the name uncultured Alphaproteobacteria bacterium. Its description in RNAcentral is "bacterial SSU rRNA". It matches the Rfam family "Bacterial small subunit ribosomal RNA", at positions 60 to 759 of the family's 1533-position model. The record is from RNAcentral. Lineage: Bacteria; Pseudomonadati; Pseudomonadota; Alphaproteobacteria.
AGUCGAACGCCCCGCAAGGGGAGUGGCAGACGGGUGAGUAACGCGUGGGAACAUACCCUCCGGUUCGGAAUAACUCAGGGAAACUUGUGCUAAUACCGAAUACGGUCGAGAGGCGAAAGAUUUAUCGCCGGAGGAUUGGCCCGCGUCCGAUUAGCUAGUUGGUGAGGUAAUGGCUCACAAAGGCGACGAUCGGUAGCUGGUCUGAGAGGAUGAUCAGCCACAUUGGGACUGAGACACGGCCCAAACUCCUACGGGAGGCAGCAGUGGGGAAUAUUGGACAAUGGGCGAAAGCCUGAUCCAGCCAUGCCGCGUGAGUGAUGACGGCCUUAGGGUUGUAAAGCUCUUUCAUCAGGGACGAUAAUGACGGUACCUGAAGAAGAAGCCCCGGCUAACUUCGUGCCAGCAGCCGCGGUAAUACGAAGGGGGCUAGCGUUGUUCGGAAUUACUGGGCGUAAAGCGCGUGUAGGCGGGUCUUUAAGUCAGGGGUGAAAUGCCAAGGCUCAACCUUGGAACUGCCUUUGAUACUGGAGAUCUUGAGUCCGGGAGAGGUGAGUGGAACUGCGAGUGUAGAGGUGAAAUUCGUAGAUAUUCGCAAGAACACCAGUGGCGAAGGCGGCUCACUGGCCCGGUACUGACGCUGAGAUGCGAAAG